ACUGGGCAUGGUGGCGCAUGCCUGUAGUCCCAGCUCUUCAGGAGGCUGAUGGGGGAGGAUCGCUUGGGCUCAGGAGUUCUGGGCUGUAGUGUGCUAUGCCAAUCGGGUGUCCACACUAAGUUCAGCAUCAAUACAGUGACCUCCCGGGGGUGGGGGACCUCCAGAUUGCCUAGGAAAGGGUGAAUUGGCCCAGGUUGGAAUCGGAGCAGGUCAAAACUCCCAUGCUGAUCAAUAGUGGGAUCGUGCUUGGGUACAGCCACUGCAUGCCAGCCUGGGCAACAUAGUGAGGGCCCAUCUCUU
Macaca fascicularis (crab-eating macaque) is the source of this 300-nucleotide unclassified non-coding RNA. It matches the Rfam family "Metazoan signal recognition particle RNA". From Rfam's summary of the family: The signal recognition particle (SRP) is a universally conserved ribonucleoprotein. It is involved in the co-translational targeting of proteins to membranes. The record is from Ensembl. Lineage: Eukaryota; Metazoa; Chordata; Mammalia; Primates; Cercopithecidae.